UAGCUAACGUGAUAAAUCGACCGCCUGGGGAGUACGGCCGCAAGGUUAAAACUCAAAUGAAUUGACGGGGCCCGGCACAAGCGGUGGAGCAUGUGGUUUAAUUCGAUGCAACGCGAAGAACCUUACCUACUCUUGACAUCCAGAGAACAUUCCAGAGAUGGAUUGGUGCCUUCGGGAACGUCUGAGACAGGUGCUGCAUGGCUGUCGAUUUAUCACGUUAGCUA
This 224-nucleotide ribosomal RNA is filed under the name uncultured bacterium. Its description in RNAcentral is "partial 16S ribosomal RNA". It matches the Rfam family "Bacterial small subunit ribosomal RNA", at positions 848 to 1071 of the family's 1533-position model. The record is from RNAcentral.